CCCUUAGAUGUUCUGGGCCGCACGCGCGCUGCACUGACGAUGGCAACGAGUUUUUCCUUCGCCGAAAGGUGUGGGUAAUCUUUUGAAACAUCGUCGUGCUGGGGAUAGAUCAUUGCAAUUUUUGAUCUUGAACGAGGAAUUCCUAGUAAGCGCGAGUCAUCAGCUCGCGUUGAUUACGUCCCUGCCCUUUGUACACACCGCCCGUCGCUACUACCGAUUGAAUGGUUUAGUGAGGACUCCUGAUUGGCGCCGCCGCCCCGGCAACGGAGCAGCGGACUGCCGAAAAGUUGUUCAAACUUGAUCAUUUAGAGGAAGUAAAAGUCGUAACA
This 329-nucleotide ribosomal RNA is filed under the name uncultured eukaryote. RNAcentral describes it as "partial 18S ribosomal RNA". It matches the Rfam family "Eukaryotic small subunit ribosomal RNA", at positions 1470 to 1796 of the family's 1831-position model. The record is from RNAcentral.